This 2902-nucleotide ribosomal RNA is filed under the name Klebsiella pneumoniae. RNAcentral describes it as "23S ribosomal RNA". It matches the Rfam family "Bacterial large subunit ribosomal RNA". The record is from RNAcentral. Lineage: Bacteria; Pseudomonadati; Pseudomonadota; Gammaproteobacteria; Enterobacterales; Enterobacteriaceae.
GGUUAAGCGACUAAGCGUACACGGUGGAUGCCCUGGCAGUCAGAGGCGAUGAAGGACGUGCUAAUCUGCGAAAAGCGUCGGUAAGGUGAUAUGAACCGUUAUAACCGGCGAUGUCCGAAUGGGGAAACCCAGUGCAAUUCGUUGCACUAUCGUUAACUGAAUACAUAGGUUAACGAGGCGAACCGGGGGAACUGAAACAUCUAAGUACCCCGAGGAAAAGAAAUCAACCGAGAUUCCCCCAGUAGCGGCGAGCGAACGGGGAGCAGCCCAGAGUCUGAAUCAGCUUGUGUGUUAGUGGAACGGUCUGGAAAGUCCGACGGUACAGGGUGAUAGUCCCGUACACCAAAAUGCACAGGUUGUGAACUCGAAGAGUAGGGCGGGACACGUGGUAUCCUGUCUGAAUAUGGGGGGACCAUCCUCCAAGGCUAAAUACUCCUGACUGACCGAUAGUGAACCAGUACCGUGAGGGAAAGGCGAAAAGAACCCCGGCGAGGGGAGUGAAAAAGAACCUGAAACCGUGUACGUACAAGCAGUGGGAGCACCUUCGGGUGUGACUGCGUACCUUUUGUAUAAUGGGUCAGCGACUUAUAUUCUGUAGCAAGGUUAACCGUAUAGGGGAGCCGCAGGGAAACCGAGUCUUAACUGGGCGUUAAGUUGCAGGGUAUAGACCCGAAACCCGGUGAUCUAGCCAUGGGCAGGUUGAAGGUUGGGUAACACUAACUGGAGGACCGAACCGACUAAUGUUGAAAAAUUAGCGGAUGACUUGUGGCUGGGGGUGAAAGGCCAAUCAAACCGGGAGAUAGCUGGUUCUCCCCGAAAGCUAUUUAGGUAGCGCCUCGUGAACUCAUCUUCGGGGGUAGAGCACUGUUUCGGCUAGGGGGUCAUCCCGACUUACCAACCCGAUGCAAACUACGAAUACCGAAGAAUGUUAUCACGGGAGACACACGGCGGGUGCUAACGUCCGUCGUGAAGAGGGAAACAACCCAGACCGCCAGCUAAGGUCCCAAAGUCAUGGUUAAGUGGGAAACGAUGUGGGAAGGCACAGACAGCCAGGAUGUUGGCUUAGAAGCAGCCAUCAUUUAAAGAAAGCGUAAUAGCUCACUGGUCGAGUCGGCCUGCGCGGAAGAUGUAACGGGGCUAAACCAUGCACCGAAGCUGCGGCAGCGACACUAUGUGUUGUUGGGUAGGGGAGCGUUCUGUAAGCCUGCGAAGGUGUGCUGUGAGGCAUGCUGGAGGUAUCAGAAGUGCGAAUGCUGACAUAAGUAACGAUAAAGCGGGUGAAAAGCCCGCUCGCCGGAAGACCAAGGGUUCCUGUCCAACGUUAAUCGGGGCAGGGUGAGUCGACCCCUAAGGCGAGGCCGAAAGGCGUAGUCGAUGGGAAACAGGUUAAUAUUCCUGUACUUGGUGUUACUGCGAAGGGGGGACGGAGAAGGCUAUGUUAGCCGGGCGACGGUUGUCCCGGUUUAAGCAUGUAGGCUGGUUGUCCAGGCAAAUCCGGAUAAUCAAGGCUGAGGUGUGAUGACGAGGCACUACGGUGCUGAAGUAACAAAUGCCCUGCUUCCAGGAAAAGCCUCUAAGCAUCAGGUAACAUUAAAUCGUACCCCAAACCGACACAGGUGGUCAGGUAGAGAAUACCAAGGCGCUUGAGAGAACUCGGGUGAAGGAACUAGGCAAAAUGGUGCCGUAACUUCGGGAGAAGGCACGCUGGUGUGUAGGUGAAGCCCCUGCGGGUGGAGCUGAGACCAGUCGAAGAUACCAGCUGGCUGCAACUGUUUAUUAAAAACACAGCACUGUGCAAACACGAAAGUGGACGUAUACGGUGUGACGCCUGCCCGGUGCCGGAAGGUUAAUUGAUGGGGUUAUCCGUAAGGAGAAGCUCUUGAUCGAAGCCCCGGUAAACGGCGGCCGUAACUAUAACGGUCCUAAGGUAGCGAAAUUCCUUGUCGGGUAAGUUCCGACCUGCACGAAUGGCGUAAUGAUGGCCAGGCUGUCUCCACCCGAGACUCAGUGAAAUUGAACUCGCUGUGAAGAUGCAGUGUACCCGCGGCAAGACGGAAAGACCCCGUGAACCUUUACUAUAGCUUGACACUGAACAUUGAGCCUUGAUGUGUAGGAUAGGUGGGAGGCUUUGAAGCGUGGACGCCAGUCUGCGUGGAGCCAACCUUGAAAUACCACCCUUUAAUGUUUGAUGUUCUAACGUUGGCCCCUUACCGGGGUUGCGGACAGUGUCUGGUGGGUAGUUUGACUGGGGCGGUCUCCUCCCAAAGCGUAACGGAGGAGCACGAAGGUUAGCUAAUCCUGGUCGGACAUCAGGAGGUUAGUGCAAUGGCAUAAGCUAGCUUGACUGCGAGCGUGACGGCGCGAGCAGGUGCGAAAGCAGGUCAUAGUGAUCCGGUGGUUCUGAAUGGAAGGGCCAUCGCUCAACGGAUAAAAGGUACUCCGGGGAUAACAGGCUGAUACCGCCCAAGAGUUCAUAUCGACGGCGGUGUUUGGCACCUCGAUGUCGGCUCAUCACAUCCUGGGGCUGAAGUAGGUCCCAAGGGUAUGGCUGUUCGCCAUUUAAAGUGGUACGCGAGCUGGGUUUAGAACGUCGUGAGACAGUUCGGUCCCUAUCUGCCGUGGGCGCUGGAGAAUUGAGGGGGGCUGCUCCUAGUACGAGAGGACCGGAGUGGACGCAUCACUGGUGUUCGGGUUGUCAUGCCAAUGGCACUGCCCGGUAGCUAAAUGCGGAAGAGAUAAGUGCUGAAAGCAUCUAAGCACGAAACUUGCCCCGAGAUGAGUUCUCCCUGAGACUUUAAGUCUCCUGAAGGAACGUUGAAGACGACGACGUUGAUAGGCCGGGUGUGUAAGCGCAGCGAUGCGUUGAGCUAACCGGUACUAAUGAACCGUGAGGCUUAACCUU